RNAcentral lists this ribosomal RNA (253 nucleotides) under uncultured bacterium. RNAcentral describes it as "partial 16S ribosomal RNA". It matches the Rfam family "Bacterial small subunit ribosomal RNA", at positions 524 to 776 of the family's 1533-position model. The record is from RNAcentral.
UACGUAGGGGGCAAGCGUUGUCCGGAUUUAUUGGGCGUAAAGAGCGUGUAGGCGGCCAGGUAGGUCUGCUGUGAAAACUCGAGGCUUAACCUCGAGCUGUCGGCGGAAACCAUCUGGCUAGAGUCCGGAAGAGGAGAAUGGAAUUCCCGGUGUAGCGGUGAAAUGCGCAGAUAUCGGGAAGAACACCGGUGGCGAAGGCGGAUCUCUGGGCCUUACCUGACGCUCAGGUGCGAAAGCUAGGGGAGCGAACAGG